Molecule: ribosomal RNA, 341 nt
Filed under: Archineura sp. RG5
Lineage: Eukaryota; Metazoa; Arthropoda; Insecta; Odonata; Calopterygidae
Description: partial 16S ribosomal RNA
Source: RNAcentral
AACGGCCGCGGUAUUUUGACCGUGCAAAGGUAGCAUAAUCAUUAGUCUUUUAAAAGGAGGCUGGAAUGAAAGGUUUAACGAGACAUUAUCUGUCUCAAUCUUUAUUAUUAUAAUUUAACUUUUGAGUUAAAAGGCUUAAAUUUUGUUGGAAGACGAGAAGACCCUAUAGAGCUUUACGGUUAAAAUUUUNNNNNNNNNGCUUUUUCAUUAUUAAUUUUCAUUAANUUUAACUGUUUUGUUGGGGUGACAAAAAAUACAAAAAUAACUUUUNUUAUUANAGAGUCCAUUUAUUUAUGUUUUAUUAGAUCCAUUCAUAUUGAUUAUUAGAAUAAGUUACCUUA